UAGAGGAAGUAAAAGUCGUAACAAGGUUUCCGUAGGUGAACCUGCGGAAGGAUCAUUAUUGAAAUAAACCUGAUGAGUUGCUGCUGGCUCUCUAGGGAGCAUGUGCACACUUGUCAUCUUUAUAUCUCCACCUGUGCACCUUUUGUAGAUCUGGAUAUCUCUCUGAGCGCUUAGCAAUUCAGGUUUGAGGAUUGACUUUAUUGUCUCUCCUUACAUUUCCAGACCUAUGUUUCUUUAUAUACCCCAAUGUAUGUCAUAGAAUGUAGUUAAUGGGCCUUUGUGCCUAUAAAUCUAUACAACUUUCAGCAACGGAUCUCUUGGCUCUCGCAUCGAUGAAGAACGCAGCGAAAUGCGAUAAGUAAUGUGAAUUGCAGAAUUCAGUGAAUCAUCGAAUCUUUGAACGCACCUUGCGCUCCUUGGUAUUCUGAGGAGCAUGCCUGUUUGAGUGUCAUUAAUAUAUAUCAACCUCUACAACUUUUGUUUGUUGAGUUGUUGGAUGUGGGGGCUCUUGCUGGCUUCUCUGAGGUCAGCUCCCCUGAAAUACAUUAGCAGAACGAUCCCCGUUCAUUGGUGUGAUAACUAUCUACGCUAUUGACGUGAAGUAGUUUGGCUUAUAACAGUCCAUUGACUUGGACAAAUUUUCAUUAAUGUGACCUCAAAUCAGGUAGGACUACCCGCUGAACUUAAGCAUAUCAAUAA
Molecule: ribosomal RNA, 699 nt
Filed under: Thaxterogaster violaceonitens
Lineage: Eukaryota; Fungi; Basidiomycota; Agaricomycetes; Agaricales; Cortinariaceae
Description: eukaryotic LSU rRNA
Rfam family: 5.8S ribosomal RNA (bases 298-451)
Source: RNAcentral